RNAcentral lists this long non-coding RNA (4272 nucleotides) under Pelobates cultripes (western spadefoot toad). The record is from RNAcentral. Lineage: Eukaryota; Metazoa; Chordata; Amphibia; Anura; Pelobatidae.
CAAAACAGUGUGAAUAGAAAUGGUUUAAUGUCUCAUGGGAUCUGUAAGGAAAGUGCUGGUAUCGUAGUAUGGAUCCCUAAAGAAACAGCUGCAGUUUGCCAUUAAGGCUGUGUAACGGACCGUUUCUCUCACAAGGGGAUAAAAUCGGUUUAGGCGAUAAUCCCCUUUCCCAUAGACCAGCAGCUACUGCAAUCACCAACCUCCUGAACUCCAAACUGCACGUAUUCACCAACUCUCGAACAGCAGACACAGGAACCCUGGAAGCAGCCGAACAGGAAAAGCAAUACAAACGGCUUACACUCCUGGCAGUCAGCACACAAUCCAAUUCCCCCAAUAACGAGACGACACUUCGUUUUGAGGGUUAAGCAGAAUCUGAGGUGCUGGCACACCCAGCCUGGUUUUUAUUACAGUGUUUUCAAAUACAGGACCGCCCACAGGGAGGUAUAAAACAACCAAUAACAUCACAGUUACAUCCCACAUAUUCCCUCCCCUUAUCCUGAGAGGAAACUCAAUUAUACAUACAGUUAAAACAUACUUUCUACCCAACUUUCAUAACUCUAAAACCAUACAUCACAUUCACAUAAAAUUACACAUUCACAAUCAAUCCAUUCAGGGGAACAACAUAUUAAAAAAUGGCACAAAUCAGACAAGGGGUUCAAAAGUUAGUAAAAAGUCCUUUGUGACUAAAUGAAGCAUGGCUUUCUGGCCCAAACCAGUUUCAGAGUCUUCUAUCCUGGAGAUAAGUAAUUCAAUUAUCUCCCAGGACAGACACAAGACUCCAUUAAGCACAUGGUUGCAAAAAGACACAAAACACUUUAAAAUACAUAAAGUCACCUUUUAUACAUAAAACACAGACAUUUCACAUAUCCCCAGAUAGCUCAGGUCUGAGCGCACAUUAUUAAGUGAAUGGCGCUCAGAACCACACGAAUACAGUUUAAUCGCCAUGGAGCCAAAGUCUUUACAGUCAGUUUCAUACAAAUGGGCUCCAUGGGAUUCCUAUCUGGGGUAUAACACAUUCAAACACAUCUACCGAACCCCAGGCAGAAAAGCACGAAUACAGCUUUUCUGCAGGCAAAAAUAAAGUCUUUUAAAAGGGGGCCAUAGUCAGAUGGCAGGAGGCUGGCAACCAGGCUUCUCCAGUGCACAGUGGCGAGGUUGGUUUCGCCACAUUUCUCCCCUUUACCAAUCAGACUAACAGGGUAUCUGACCUCCUGCCGGUCAGUGCCCUUGUUAGUCCAGCAGCCCACCCACAAAACACAAUCAGUAAUACAGCCCACCCACAAUAACUGGCUACUACACCUGGGUAGAGGAGAACUUUGUCCGUGUCCAGGUGCCUCACCAUGGCUGUGUGGGUGACUGGUCAGCGUACUGGGUGGGUUGCUGAGUGGGCAGAGACCAGCGGUACUCUGUCCUGGUGCCAGCACUACCACGGGAGUAGUCUGGUUGGAGCCUGGUUGCUGGAGGGGGGGACAGACUGUCUCCCCUUUGCCUAAACAGUCCUGCUGCUGGGGGACAGGACCGACUGUUCCUACCCCCGGUGGUGCAUGUGCAGAGACCACUGUCCCCUCUGCACUGUUGUGGAGAUUACUGUCUCCCCUUGGUGGGCUAAGCUGCCGCUGGGGAGAGGGGGUAACAAGCUCCUCUCCCAUACAUACUUUCAGCCGCUGGGGAGAGGGGAUAACAAGCUCUUCUCCCUGACACUCUCUCUGCUGUUGAAGGGGGAGACCGACUGUCUCCCCUUUCAAUAAUUUGUCCUGUUGCUGGGGAGAGGUGAUAACUGGUUCCUCUCCCUGGAACACUCUCUGCUGUUGGAGGGGGGGACCAACUGUCUCCCCUUUUAAUAAAUUGUCCUGCUGCUGGGGAGCGAGACCGACUGUCUCCGCUUCCUGCAGAACACACUGCCGCUGGGGAGGGAGGACGACACCUUCAGCUCCCUGGGGUACACACUGCCGCUGGGGAGGAAGGACGGCACCUUCAGCUCCCUGGGGUACACACUGCCGCUGGGGAGGAAGGACGGUACCUUCAGCUCCCUGGGAUACACACUGCUGCUGGGGAGGAAGGACGGUACCUUCAGCUCCCUGGGAUACCCACUGCCGCUGGGGAGGAAGGACGGCACCUUCUGCUCGCUGGGACACACACUGCCGCUGGGGAGGAAGGACGACACCUUCAGCUCCCUGGGAUACACACUGCCGCUGGGGAGGAAGGACGGCACCUUCUGCUCCCUGGGACACACACUGCCGCUGGGGAGGAAGGACUGCACCUUCAGCUCCCUGGGAUACACACCGCCGUUGGGGAGGAAGGACGAUACCUUCAGCUCCCUGGGAUACACACUGCCGCUGGGGAGGAAGGACGACACCUUCAGCUCCCUGGGAUACACACUGCCGCUGGGGAGGAAGGACGACACCUUUGGCUCCCUGGGACACACACUGCCGCUGGGGAGGAAGGACGACACCUUCAGCUCCCUGGGGUACACACUGCCGCUGGGGAGGAAGGACUGCACCUUCAGCUCCCUGGUAUACACACUGCCGCUGGGGAGGGAGGACAACACCUUCCGCUCCCUGGGACACACACUGCCGCUGGGGAGGAAGGACGACACCUUUGGCUCCCUGGGACUCACACUGCUGCUGGGGAGGAAGGACUGCACCUUCAGCUCCCUGGGAUACACACUGCCGCUGGGGAGGAAGGACGACACCUUUGGCUCCCUGGGAUACACACUGCCGCUGGGGAGGAAGGACGACACCUUUGGCUCCCUGGGACACACACUGCCGCUGGGGAGGAAGGACGACACCUUUGGCGCGAUCUGCCACGACCUGCAGGUACUCUGCUACAUGUCCCCUCACGCGCUGCACGAAUUCCUCAGAGGGGACAAAUGUAACAAGAGCCAGCCGCAAUUUAAGCUCUCGGUCAAACUCCUCCUGAGUGUAGCUGGGCGCCAUGUUUGCUCUGCCGAAGUUGGUUCCUUUGUAGAUAGGGUCGCUGUACGGGUACUAACGUUGCCCUCAAUUGUAAUCCAGGCACUGGUGUUGUCUUGUAGCUGUCCUUCUGGUUGUAGGAACGAUCCCGCCGCUUGCCACCAAUUGUAACGGACCGUUUCUCUCACAAGGGGAUAAAAUCGGUUUAGGCGAUAAUCCCCUUUCCCAUAGACCAGCAGCUACUGCAAUCACCAACCUCCUGAACUCCAAACUGCACGUAUUCACCAACUCUCGAACAGCAGACACAGGAACCCUGGAAGCAGCUGAACAGGAAAAGCAAUACAAACGGCUUACACUCCUGGCAGUCAGCACACAAUCCAAUUCCCCCAAUAACGAGACGACACUUCGUUUUGAGGGUUAAGCAGAAUCUGAGGUGCUGGCACACCCAGCCUGGUUUUUAUUACAGUGUUUUCAAAUACAGGACCGCCCACAGGGAGGUAUAAAACAACCAAUAACAUCACAGUUACAUCCCACAUAUUCCCUCCCCUUAUCCUGAGAGGAAACUCAAUUAUACAUACAGUUAAAACAUACUUUCUACCCAACUUUCAUAACUCUAAAACCAUACAUCACAUUCACAUAAAAUUACACAUUCACAAUCAAUCCAUUCAGGGGAACAACAUAUUAAAAAUGGCACAAAUCAGACAAGGGGUUCAAAAGUUAGUAAAAAGUCCUUUGUGACUAAAUGAAGCAUGGCUUUCUGGCCCAAACCAGUUUCAGAGUCUUCUAUCCUGGAGAUAAGUAAUUCAAUUAUCUCCCAGGACAGACACAAGACUCCAUUAAGCACAUGGUUGCAAAAAGACACAAAACACUUUAAAAUACAUAAAGUCACCUUUUAUACAUAAAACACAGACAUUUCACAUAUCCCCAGAUAGCUCAGGUCUGAGCGCACAUUAUUAAGUGAAUGGCGCUCAGACCACACGAAUACAGUUUAAUCGCCAUGGAGCCAAAGUCUUUACAGUCAGUUUCAUACAAAUGGGCUCCAUGGGAUUCCUAUCUGGGGUAUAACACAUUCAAACACAUCUACCGAACCCCAGGCAGAAAAGCACGAAUACAGCUUUUCUGCAGGCAAAAAUAAAGUCUUUUAAAAGGGGGCCAUAGUCAGAUGGCAGGAGGCUGGCAACCAGGCUUCUCCAGUGCACAGUGGCGAGGUUGGUUUCGCCACAGGCUGUGAGCAUAAUGUCACAUAAAGCAGGGCUUGACAAAUUUGCUUUCAAUCUAGGAGCCAGCUAAAAAAUGUUAGGAGCCAUUAUUUUCCCCCCAACUACAAAAAUACAAUUCUUAAAGGGACACUAUACUCACC